This 366-nucleotide unclassified non-coding RNA is filed under the name uncultured bacterium. RNAcentral describes it as "contains 16S-23S intergenic spacer region". The record is from RNAcentral.
UCUCCCGUGAGGGAGCAGUCUCGCCUGGCCAUAUAGGCAACAGGCAACGUGGGUUGCGUUCGUUACCCCACUGAAGGGAACAGUUCAAACCACGAACUGACGACGACCGUGCACCACCUGUGCUACACCCUCGAAGGCUUCCUCCCUUUCGGGAGGCGUGCAGUAGCAUUUCUAACCUUGGUAAGGUUCUUCGUUUGCCGACGAAUUGAGCCACAUAAUCCACCACUUGUGCGAGUCCCCGUCUAUUCCUUUGAGUUUUAAGCUUGCGCUCGUACUACCCAGGCGGUUCGCUUACCGGGUUACCUUAGUCCCGCAGAGGGUCGAUACUCCGCGGAACGAGCGAACAACGUUGAGGGCCAGGACUAC